Molecule: long non-coding RNA, 3853 nt
Organism: Gallus gallus (chicken)
Lineage: Eukaryota; Metazoa; Chordata; Aves; Galliformes; Phasianidae
Exons: 3
Source: RefSeq, a predicted model, not a curated record
CUCCCCGCGGGCCGGGCCGCUCCUUCAGCGCUGUUCGCCCCGAGGCCCGGCGGCAGCGCGGCGCCGCGCCCUGCUCACCCCAACGGGCCGAGGCGGUGUGAGGGCGCGGGCAGCCCCUGCGGCAGGUGCGGGGCCGGCAUGCUGACAGCGCGCAUUCAGUCCGCGUGAAACGGAUGACAAAACCAUGCUCCGCUGGAGCGUUCCAGUGCGUGUCAGAAACGUCUGAGAUAAUUUUUAGGAGACAGGAUCUCUGGUGAAGAAAUUCUAAUUCGCGAUUGCAGUGCUGGGCGUCCUGCCAACAGGAGAGCACCUACGGGAACAACAUUACAGCUUUUGUACCGUGUCUCCCCCAAACUCACCCCCUCCCACGUUUCUCCACUGGCUGGUACUGCGGGUUCACAAUCUUACCGAAGUUCCAGUGCAGAAACAACAUUCCAUUCCUACACUCCACGAGCAGAUGUGAAGUCCUCUUGAGCCUCCAGAGGAGGUGCCGUAGGCUGAGCUGUUCCCGGAUCUUCUGCUUUACAAUUCCGUGCUUUCUUGGCUUGGUAGGUUUAUUCAACCCUCUCUGUUUACAUAUCCUCCAUAACUCAUGUGUUGGAAAACCAUCAAUCUUAUAAUGAGACAUACCAUCUGUUAAUAAAGCUGCAAAUAUUUUUUUUUUUCCCAAGAAAUCCUGUUUGCACUGUUUUUAGGAUUGUCUUGAGUGUCUUGGUUUCCUGCACUUCCCCAGGAAUCCCAUUCUCCAAGGUCAUCUAGAUGCUGAAUUUUUUCAGUUACCUUGUCGAGAAGAUUUCCUUUGUCAUUAAUCAGAUUUCACGCCUACAAAUUCAUCUAGGAGCCCAGCCUCAUCAGAAUGCAUAGAAUCCCAAAUAUCUCUAUUCCAUCUUUUGGGAUCCCACUGUACGCCUGCUUCUGUUAUCAAUAAAUGCACAUUCCUAUGAUUCAUUCAUCCUCUCUUUCUCAUAUCUGUACUGCACAACACAAACUGCAGUCCUUGUGGCUGCAGUCUGAUAAGCAUCCAACUAAAUGAUGAGCAACUGUAUUUUGACACUGUAACAUUACAGUUUGAUUCCACAGAUCACACAGCUGUUGCUCCAUGGGGGAGCAUUCUGAUAACUGCUCUAUCUGUUGGUGCUGUUACCUGUGUGCUGUUAACAGAAUCCACCUCCACCUUCCCAAACACAUUAUUUCUUUUUUUCAAUAGGCAGUUUUUGGAUACAUUUCGAUCUAUCCAAUGAUUCAGCUUCUUUCAACUGACUUUCCCAUUGUUCACACCGCCAACCUUAGCUCACUCAAGAGCCAGUGGACUAUAGGGAUGGUCUUCCCACCUGGGGAUUUCAGGUGGAACUGAAAUUUUGCAGCAUUUUUUUUCUGAUCCUGCCUGUGAUGUCAAUUUACGUUUUGCCAAUGGACAGGGCCAGCAUAAAGGACAAAAACACCAAGUUAAAGAAGUGGGUUUAUCUUUACUUAUGUUUAAAGCAAUGAAAUUCUAAGUGAAACGAUGCAGCAAGAAUAAAACAAAACAAGGUAAUGCAUGUAAUUGUUACUACAUAAGAUUAACUGCAGUGACUAAGAAAGAUACACUGCUGAUUGCCCUUAUACUUUACCAUCAUCCAGAUCCACAAUUGCUGGGGAGCUCUGGUUACAGCAAGGAUUUGGAGAACCUUUCCUGGCAAUUGUGAGGUCCUGAGCGGUUUGUCCACUCGUAGGUGAGAUCUCCAGAGUCACUGCCAAGGGGUCCAACUUUUAUAUAGAUGAAUAAACAAGUUUACGGAACUUCAAAUACAGAAACAUCUUGUUUCAUCCUUUUGGAUUCUACCCAACGCCUGGGCAGGUCACUAGGAGGAACUGGGGGAGCUUCCCUAUCUGUUUAGGCUUUAACCGCAUGUUUCUCAACAAGGUCAGAUGUCUGGUUUCAGAGUCUUGCAACAUGCACCUAAAUAAAGAAAGAUUCACUAACUAUAACUUACACAAAAAGCGUUACAACAGAUCUUUAUGAAUUGCCACCAAAUAUAUAUAUAUUCAUGUUAAAACAGCAAAAUAGAUAAAUAUUGUAUUGUAUGUGUGGUAUAGUAUUUGGUUGUGAGGUUUAUCUAGAGGUCAACUUUGGUUCAGGGCAUGUUGUUCAGGCUUUAGUGCCUCAGGCCUUUCAGCAUCUAAAGGGGGGCUAUAAGAAAGGAGGAAACAGAAUUUAGCUGGGUCUGUUGUGACAGGACAAGGGGAGUCAUCCAAGACCAGGCUGGGCGAAGCUCUGAGCAACCUGAUCUUGUUGUAGGUGUCCCUGUUCAUAGCAGGGGAAUUGGACUAGAUGACUCAAAUGAUUCUGUGACUGUAUGAUCUUCUCAGGCACAGGGGUGAGGCUGACCAAUUGGUAGUUCCCAGCGUACUCCUUCAUACCCUUUUAAAAAUGAGAGUGAUCUUUCCCUUCUUUCCAGUCACCAGGGACUUCAACUGACAGCCAUGACUUUUCAAAUAUGAUGAAGAGUGGCUCGGCAACAACGUGAGCCAAUUCCUUCAAUACCCUGGGAUGCAUGUCAUUAGGCAUGCAGACAUGUAUGUUUAGGUUCAUCAGGUGUUCUCAAACCCAAUCUUCACUUACAGAGGGAAGUGCUUUGCUCCCUCAGUUCCUCCUCUGAGGUUCAGGGUCUUGAGAGUUGUAGGGAGACUGCCAGUAAAGACAGAAUCAAAAAGGUUUUUGCAUAUCUCAGCCUUCUGUGUGUCUGUUGUCACCAGUUUGCUCCUCUGGCUCCCUCUUUUCUGACCAACGUAUCUGUAAAAUCCCUUAUAAUUCUUUGCAUCCCUUGCCAAGUUCAGUUGCUUCUGUGCCUUAUCUUUCCCGAUCCUAUAUUUGACCACCCAUCCCUGCCUCUGCUGCCUGUACUUUUCCUUCUUAUCCCUCAGUUUGAACAGUAGGUCUUUGUUCAACCACUCUGGCCUCCUUCCUCCUCUGCUUGAUUUCUUACACAUGGGGAUGGAGAGCUCCUGCACUCUGUGAAAGGCGUACUUAAAGAGUUGCCAGCUCUUCAAGUUAGUUCCUUUAUCCCUAAUGACAAUUUCCAGGGGAUCUCAUCCACUAAUUCUCUGAAGAACUGGAAAUGUGCUCCUGUAAAAUUCAAGGUCCUGACUUUACCCUUUGCCAGCCUCAUAUCCCUCAAGAUCAUGAACUCCACGCCAGAGCAUGAUCACUGCAGCCCAGUUUGCUUCCAAUUUUAACCUCUCUAAUUACACCAUCUGUUGGUGAGCACCACAUUCAGUAAAGCUUCGCCUCUUAAUUUCUCAGCUUUUUUGUAUGAUUUCAAGCUAUCUUUGCUACUGCAAACAAAGUCAGCAACAGUAGCAAUAAGGUUCCCUGUAAAAAGACUCCCUCACUUCAUCUGCUUUAUCAUCUGUGUUUGUGUGCUGUAAUAUUUAAGAUAACUAUUUAGAACCUUAUUUCUAGUCUUAAAAUACCCUGACUACAAGCUAUUACACUGUCUACAUGUGUAGAUAACACCAAAAAAGGAAUCAGUAUGGACUGUGGGUUGUACUGCAGAAAACGCCUUCCUAUUGUGAGUGCAAACAAAAAAUUGAUGCUCUAGGGGAAAAAAAAAAAAAAAAGCAGGUUAUAAGAUGAAUCAGUGUUAAAUUUGGUGUUCUGCUGGGAACCGAAGAGCCCAGAAUUACUUUAGGGGUACGGUCUAUUAAAGGCAUACAGGUGGUGCUCUGCCAUCUGCGCAUAUUGAAGUUAGAGCUGCGGUGCUUACCACUGUCACAAGAUUAUUUCUGUCAAUCAGAUGGUUAUUUAGUCUCAGACAACACCAGCUCACAGAGAUUCUGGGGGACCCCACCACAGUUCAGUCACCAUUGCAGC